Molecule: transfer RNA, 62 nt
Filed under: Candidatus Aenigmatarchaeota archaeon
Lineage: Archaea; Nanobdellati; Candidatus Aenigmatarchaeota
Description: tRNA-Ser
Source: RNAcentral
GCCCGGGUAGCCUAGCCAGGUAAGGCGCCUGCCUCGAGAGCAGGUGGGCUCACGCCCUCGCA